This is a long non-coding RNA of Pteropus alecto (black flying fox), 1243 nucleotides long. RefSeq lists it as uncharacterized. The transcript has 5 exons. The record is from RefSeq and is a predicted model, not a curated record. NCBI's taxonomy places the organism in Eukaryota, Metazoa, Chordata, Mammalia, Chiroptera, Pteropodidae.
ACAUAUGCAAAACCGCACGUGCCCGGACGGUGCCCAUGAGAUGCGUGCCCUUCACGUGUGCAAGUUACAUCCUAGGAUGUGAGGACAGAAACGAUUUACUCCCUACUCAGAGUCCACAGAGCGCACACAGAGAGGCCGUCGUAAAUGCUUUUGGAAGGAAGCGGAGGGUGCCCGCUGCUUCUGGGGCCGCCCGGGGUGUGAGCACGGGGGCCUCCGAGCCUCUGGUGUUCCCUCCAGCUCCCCCGAGCCCGUGCGUGUCCCCGAUGUCCUCAGGUCACCCUAGGAGGAAGAACGCCCCGUGACUCAGCACCGACGACACGUAACAUCUCGUUUUUCCCUUCCGUGACCCAGGAGCAGAUCGAAAAGAACCUUCUGGAAAUCAUGCUCAGCAUCUCCUCACCACCCGACCUGGAGCCAGGCCUGAGGAAGGAUGGCGGUCAAAGUGGCAGCUGCUGUUGAGCCAGCUUUGAACUUGAACCAAUUUGAAAUCCAGGUCAUAAAUCCCCAGCUCCGCCUGGGGGACUCACCUUCAGGUCUGGGCGUGGAGUCUGCAGGAGAGGCCGGGGGUCUCCAGCACAAUGCGGCAUUGACAGGACUGUGGAUUCUAUUUGAUCCAACGUUUGUCGACGACCUACUAAGUGCCCAGCACUCCCCCAGGUGCUGGGGAUCGGCCGAUGAGUCAGACAGAAGCCUGGGCAGCGAGGCCGCUUCCGGCGCCCAGCGUGAGGAGCGGUCCUGAGAAGCUUCCAGAAGUCCCCCAUUCUGUCCGGCUGGCUUCUCAGCAGGGUCUGUGCCUGGACACUGGCAGGUGCCAGGAGCCUCACCGCAGAAUAUGGAAUUUUUGACCCCACAUCAAGCAGCUUCACCUCAGGUGCCUUGCUCCUGGUGUCCCAACCACCCUUUCUUCCCUGUGUCUGUCUGCCAGACUGGUGUCAUGGAGAGAAUUAUUUCAUGUCGCUAUCCUGUGUCUCAGCAGUUGGCAUCUAUGCUCCACUGAGUUAAGAUCUCCUGGAGCCUUCUGUAUGAGGCGAGAGCCCCUACUUCUUACCUUCCUCAUCGCUUCUGUAUUUAUAGGUCAGGAUAAGCAGCACUAGCUGCUGUAACAAACAAGCCCAACUCUCAGGGGCCGAGUAGCUGUCAGCCAGCAGACUCUCCUCCACACGGUCACUCAGGGACCCAGGCUCCCUGCAUCCUGUGGCUCCGCCUUCCUUUCUGUCCUUGGCGUCCUCUCCACUUGGCCUGU